Nicotiana tabacum (common tobacco) is the source of this 733-nucleotide long non-coding RNA. RefSeq lists it as uncharacterized. The record is from RefSeq and is a predicted model, not a curated record. Lineage: Eukaryota; Viridiplantae; Streptophyta; Magnoliopsida; Solanales; Solanaceae.
AUCUGCUCCUUCCUUUAUGUAUAUUUUAUUCAUUUUGUCAGUUCUUGGUAAAUUCUACCAAAGUAACUUGAAACCACAUUGUUCACUCCUCGCGAGUAGCACUUUGAUUGGACACAAAAUUUAAAAAAGAAUUAAACAUUUUUGAAACUGAUGGUCUAAAAUAAUUCAUACGUAUUUAUGUGGCCCUGUAUCAUCUCGUAAAAUAAAAAACUUUAAAAUAAAAUUAUUUCUAAAUAUAGAAAGUGUGCAUUGAAACAAAAUGUGAAAUACAAAACAAGGGGAAAGUACAGAGUUUGCGUCUAAUUUUGUUCUGAAACUGAUUUUAAGAGCGUGGUCUCGCAAUUAAAGUUAUAUAUACACGCUGAAGAUAGUGAAGUUGGUGAAGCCCACCGGAGACUCGCCGGAAUUUUUCCGGAGAAGUGAUUGUAAGAGAGAUUGAGCUCAAAGAGGUUCGAGAUGUUUCUCUGUACGCCGCCGGAGAACAAAUUUGCCGGUGAUUUGUCCAUAUAGCUGGUUGCCGGAACCAUAAAAGAUUUGUCAAGUUCGAGAUUUCCGGCUGAAUUUGGCCGGAAAAUCCACCUUUCUUUCAAUCUCAUUUCUUUCUUAAGGUUUCACUCUCUCAAUUAUCAAAAUCCAACCAAAUAAACGCUGAAUCGAUAAUUUAGGAUUUGAAAUUUGGUACAUUUGUUCCAUUAUAUUAGUGAAAUUAUUUACCAGUAGGUAAUUUUGAUCC